CCCUUAGAUGUCCUGGGCUGCACGCGCGCUACACUGAUGUGUCCAGUAAGCACCUAACCUCUUCCGAAAGGAACGGGUAACCUUUGCAAAGCACAUCGUGAUGGGGAUAGAUUAUUGCAAUUAUUAGUCUUGAACGAGGAAUUCCUAGUAAGCACAAGUCAUCAGCUUGUGUUGAUUACGUCCCUGCCCUUUGUACACACCGCCCGUCGCUCCGACCGAUUGAAUGUUCCGGUGAGCUCUUCGGACUGCGCGGUCUGCAGUUUCUGCGUUCCGUGCGGAAAGUUGCGCAAACCUUAACAUUUAGAGGAAGGAGAAGUCGUAACA
Molecule: ribosomal RNA, 324 nt
Filed under: uncultured eukaryote
Lineage: Eukaryota
Description: partial 18S ribosomal RNA
Rfam family: Eukaryotic small subunit ribosomal RNA
Source: RNAcentral